UGGGGAUUAUUGGACAAUGGGCGAAAGCCUGAUCCAGCCAUGCCGCGUGUGUGAAGAAGGUCCUCGGAUUGUAAAGCACUUUAAGUUGGGAGGAAGGGCAGUAAGCGAAUACCUUGCUGUUUUGACGUUACCGACAGAAUAAGCACCGGCUAACUCUGUGCCAGCAGCCGCGGUAAUACAGAGGGUGCAAGCGUUAAUCGGAAUUACUGGGCGUAAAGCGCGCGUAGGUGGUUCGUUAAGUUGAAUGUGAAAGCCCCGGGCUCAACCUGGGAACUGCAUCCAAAACUGGCGAGCUAGAGUAGGGCAGAGGGUGGUGGAAUUUCCUGUGUAGCGGUGAAAUGCGUAGAUAUAGGAAGGAACACCAGUGGCGAAGGCGACCACCUGGGCUCAUACUGACACUGGGGUGCGAAAGCGUGGGGAGCAAACAGG
This 429-nucleotide ribosomal RNA is filed under the name Pseudomonadota bacterium. RNAcentral describes it as "Proteobacteria bacterium partial 16S ribosomal RNA". It matches the Rfam family "Bacterial small subunit ribosomal RNA", at positions 355 to 776 of the family's 1533-position model. The record is from RNAcentral. Lineage: Bacteria; Pseudomonadati; Pseudomonadota.